Molecule: ribosomal RNA, 779 nt
Filed under: uncultured Neocallimastigales
Lineage: Eukaryota; Fungi; Neocallimastigomycota; Neocallimastigomycetes; Neocallimastigales
Description: partial large subunit ribosomal RNA
Rfam family: Eukaryotic large subunit ribosomal RNA
Source: RNAcentral
AGAGAGAGACAUGCGCGCAUAUCAAUAAGCGGAGGAAAAGAAACUAACAAGGAUUCCCCUAGUAACGGCGAGUGAAGCGGGAAGAGCUCAAAUUUGAAAUCUUAAAGGGUUUCCCUUUACGAAUUGUAGUUUAAAGAAGUGUUUUUCUGUUGAGGUUUUGGUAAAAGUUCUUUGGAAUAGGACAUCAUAGAGGGUGAGAAUCCCGUAUUUGACCUUUACUUUCAACUUUGUGAUACACUUUCAAAGAGUCGGAUUGUUUGGGAAUGCAGUCCAAAAUGGGUGGUAAAUUUCAUCUAAAGCUAAAUAUUGGCGAGAGACCGAUAGCGAACAAGUACCGUGAGGGAAAGAUGAAAAGAACUUUGAAAAGAGAGUUAAACAGUACGUGAAAUUGUCAAAAGGGAAGCGUUUGACACCAGUGUUGUUUUUUCUGAAAAUCAAUUAAAGAACUGUUUAUGCUAAGCUUGUUUAGGACUUUAUCAGCUAUCUGUUUAGUUUUGAGCUUUUCUUUAAUGCACUUUUCAGUUAACAAGUCAACAUCAAUUUCUUUUGCUGUAAAAAAGCUUGAGGAAGGUGGCUUGAGAUUCGUCCUUAAGUGUUUAUAGCCUCUUGCCUAUGCAGUCGGAGAGAUUGAGGUCUGCAGCGUAGAUCCUUCGGGGCUAAAUGCAUUUGUGCUAAGUUAUAGCAUUUUAUAGACAACUUGUUGACUAUGAUUUGUCUUGUAGCUUACUCGCUUAUGUUAUUUUACCUACGCUUAGGAUGUUGACGCAUGAGAUAUACGC